CCUACGGGAGGCAGCAGUGAGGAAUAUUGGUCAAUGGGCGGAAGCCUGAACCAGUCAAGUAGCGUGCGGGAUGAAGGCCCUACGGGUCGUAAACCGCUUUUGCACGGGGAUAACACCCUCCACUUGUGGAGGUCUGCAGGUACCGUGCGAAUAAGGGCCGGCUAAUUCCGUGCCAGCAGACGCGGUAAAACGGAAGGGCCGAGCGUUAUCCGGAUUCAUUGUGCUAAAAGGGAGCGUAGGCGGGCGUUCAAGUCAGCUGGAAAAUCGCGCGCCUCAACCGCGCACCGCAGUUGAAACUGGACGCCUUGAGUUCACAACAGGCAGGUGGAAUUCGUGGUGUAGCGGUGAAAUGCAUAGAGAUCACGAGGAACCCCGAUUGCGAAGGCAGCCUGCCGGGGUGCGACUGACGCUGAGGCUCGAAGGUGCGGGUAUCAAACAGGAUUAGAUACCCGAGUAGUC
Molecule: ribosomal RNA, 459 nt
Filed under: uncultured bacterium
Lineage: Bacteria
Description: partial 16S ribosomal RNA
Rfam family: Bacterial small subunit ribosomal RNA
Source: RNAcentral